RNAcentral lists this ribosomal RNA (606 nucleotides) under Triticum aestivum (bread wheat). RNAcentral's name for it is "partial small subunit ribosomal RNA". Lineage: Eukaryota; Viridiplantae; Streptophyta; Magnoliopsida; Poales; Poaceae. The record is from RNAcentral.
AUGGCGGAGCCCAAGUGGCCCGGCAGCAUCGCCAUGAAGACAGAGGCCGAUGCGUUCCACGAGCAGUACUACUCCUUCAGCGGCGCCGCCUCCCUCUUCCACCACAGCAAGCCGGAGAGGAAGCACUUCCCCUUCCUGACCGACGGCGGUGGCGAGGCCAUGUUCGGCUACCAGCCACUGGCCUUCACCAGCACACCUUCCUCGGAGAGCAACAGUAACAGCAGCCGGCACAGCAACGGCAAGACCACCAUGUUCGCCCACGACGGGGGCCCAGACCACAACUGUGCUCUCUCUUUUCUGUCAGACAACCCGACGCUGGUGCACAUCAUGGUCCCCGUGGAGGCGCAUCAUCUCAGCGGCGGCGGCGGCAUGACAAUACAGUACGACAGUGGCGGUGGCGGCGGCGGCAAGGUGGCGCGGCUGUCCAACAACGACGACGUCUCGCUCACCGGGCUGUCUUACGUGAGCCUCGGAGACAAGGGCCCGCCCAUGUUGCACGCAUCUAACAGAUCACAACACGCCGCUGCUACCGCUACCGCUGCUGUUACUACCAGCACAGUAGCGGCUCCGGCUGCAUCCCAGCUCCAGCAGCAGUACCAUGGAUAG